CCCAAGCCUGAUUAACCACCCCCAGAUUUAUUUUCUCUGGACAUGUUCAUUCUUUCAUUGUCCCCUUGAAGCCAGGUAAACCCUCAGCAUCCCCAGGGCAGUGCUGCAAGGAGCUCACAGAGAUGUUUGGUUUUUUUAAAUUCAAUUUUCUUUUUGUUUACUUGUUUCUUUGUGUUGGUUGGUUGGUUUUUUUUGUUUUGUUCUUGAUUUUUGUUUUGUUAUUUUUUUGGUGUUUUGAUUUGUUUUUGUUUUUUUUUUCUUUUGGAAAGCCCUCUUUUUUUGUUUGUUUUUAACCUGUCAUCCACUGGUUUGAUGCCAUCUUGUUUCUGUGCUGUGGAAGGCAAUGAGACACCAGUCCCUGCUCACCCUCUCCAUAUGAUUCCUGAGCUUACAGUCCCUUAUCACAUCUCCCCUAUCAAAUCCCAGCAUGAGAGGCAAGACAAAUCCUGCUCAGCUGUCUCCUGUGUGGGUUAAUUUCCCUGAACUUUCCUCUAAGGACAAAGCCCAUUGAGCUGAGGGAUGGAGAGCUUGGUCAAAAUGAACUUGCAGACUGUGAGUUUUUCUGCAAAGCCUCUGGGAAGGAGAUAGCAGAAAGCCAAGGAGACCCUCCUGAGACCUGGUGUGGAGUGUCUAACAGGGUGAGCCUGGAAUCACCCUCUAUUAACUCAAGGUGGAGUUUCCUUGCUAUAGGAGUUUUUCUAGGAUACAGAAAGCACAGAACAAAUGCAGUGUUGCCUGAGGUUAAACUGCUCCAGACCUGCCUUCAGAGUCCUUCCCUCAUUGCAGAAAGGAAUGGGCUGCAUGAGACCACAGAAUACUUUGGGACCAGAGAGGGCUGCACUCAUCUUACCUGCUCCUUGCUUUCCUAA
Molecule: long non-coding RNA, 869 nt
Filed under: Cyanistes caeruleus (blue tit)
Lineage: Eukaryota; Metazoa; Chordata; Aves; Passeriformes; Paridae
Description: lncRNA (ENSCCEG00000014364.1)
Source: RNAcentral